RNAcentral lists this ribosomal RNA (274 nucleotides) under uncultured bacterium. Its description in RNAcentral is "partial 16S ribosomal RNA". It matches the Rfam family "Bacterial small subunit ribosomal RNA", at positions 523 to 796 of the family's 1533-position model. The record is from RNAcentral.
AUACGAAAGGUGCAAGCGUUGUUCGGAUUUACUGGGCGUAAAGAGAGUGUAGGUUGUUUAUUAAGUCGGAUGUGAAAUCCCGGGGCUCAACCUCGGAACUGCAUUCGAUACUGGUAGACUAGAGUUCGGGAGGGGUAAGCGGAAUUCCGUGUGUAGCAGUGAAAUGCGUAGAUAUACGGAGGAACACCUGAGGCGAAGGCGGCUUACUGGACCGAUACUGACACUGAGACUCGAAAGCGUGGGUAGCAAACAGGAUUAGAUACCCUGGUAGUCC